AGAGUUUGAUCAUGGCUCAGAAUCAACGCUGGCGGCGCGCCUAACACAUGCAAGUCGAACGGGAAAGUGGGCAACCAUGAGUACAGUGGCGUACGGGUGAGUAGCACGUGGGUAAUCUACCUCUUAGUGGGGAAUAACCCUGGGAAACCGGGGCUAAUACCGCAUGAGCUCGAGAGAGGAAAGCAGCAAUGCGCUGAGAGAGGAGCCCGCGGCCGAUUAGCUAGUUGGUAGGGUAAAAGCCUACCAAGGCAAAGAUCGGUAGCCGGCCUGAGAGGGCACACGGCCACACUGGCACUGAAACACGGGCCAGACUCCUACGGGAGGCAGCAGUGGGGAAUCUUGCACAAUGGGGGAAACCCUGAUGCAGCGACGCCGCGUGAGCGAUGAAGCCCUUCGGGGUGUAAGGCUCUUUCGGCAGGGAAGAUGAUGACGGUACCUGCAGAAGCAGCUGCGGCUAACUACGUGCCAGCAGCCGCGGUAAUACGUAGGCAGCAAGCGUUGUUCGGAGUUACUGGGCGUAAAGGGUGUGUAGGCGGUUCUUUAAGUUUGGUGUGAAAUCUCCCGGCUCAACCGGGAGGGUGCGCCGAAUACUGAGGGACUCGAGUGCGGGAGAGGAAAGUGGAAUUCCUGGUGUAGCGGUGAAAUGCGUAGAUAUCAGGAGGAACACCGGUGGUGUAGACGGCUUUCUGGACCGUAACUGACGCUGAGACACGAAAGCGUGGGUAGCAAACAGGAUUAGAUACCCUGGUAGUCCACGCCCUAAACGAUGCAUAUUUGGUGUGGGCAGUUCAUUCUGUCCGUGCCGGAGCUAACGCGUUAAAUAUGCCGCCUGGGGAGUACAGUCGCAAGGCUGAAACUCAAAGGAAUUGACGGGGGCCCGCACAAGCGGUGGAGCAUGUGGGUUCAAUUCGACGCAACGCGAAGAACCCUUACCUGGGCUCGAACGGGUAGUCAACGGAGGUGGAAACAU
RNAcentral lists this ribosomal RNA (970 nucleotides) under uncultured bacterium. RNAcentral's name for it is "bacterial SSU rRNA". It matches the Rfam family "Bacterial small subunit ribosomal RNA", at positions 8 to 1009 of the family's 1533-position model. The record is from RNAcentral.